CCUACGGGGGGCAGCAGUAGGGAAUUUUGCGCAAUGGGCGAAAGCCUGACGCCUCCCCGCCGCUUGCCCUCUCCUCCCUUCUUUUUUUCCCUUUCUUUCCUUUUUUACGAAAAAUGACGGUACCCACAGAGGAAGCACCGGCUAACUCCGUGCCAGCAGCCGCGGUAAUACGGAGGGUGCAAGCGUUGUCCGGAAUCAUUGGGCGUAAAGAGUUCGUAGGCGGCAUGUAAAGUCAGGUGUUAAAGGCGCAGGCUCAACCUGUGUAUGGCACUUGAUAUUUGCAAGCUGGAAUGCGGUAGAGGUAAAGGGAAUUCCUGGUGUAGCGGUGAAAUGCUUAGAUAUCAGGAGGAACAUCGGUGGCGUAAGCGCUUUACUGGGCCGUAAUUGACGCUGAGGAACGAAAGCCAGGGUAGCAAAUGGGAUUAGAUAAAACUGUAGUC
This 440-nucleotide ribosomal RNA is filed under the name uncultured bacterium. Its description in RNAcentral is "partial 16S ribosomal RNA". It matches the Rfam family "Bacterial small subunit ribosomal RNA", at positions 338 to 795 of the family's 1533-position model. The record is from RNAcentral.